UACGUAGGUGGCAAGCGUUGUCCGGAGUUAUUGGGCGUAAAGCGCGCGCAGGCGGUGCGGUAAGUCUCUGGUGAAAGCGCUCGGCUUAACUGGGCGAGGGCCGGGGAGACUGCCACGCUGGAGGGGAGCAGAGGCGAGUGGAAUUCCGGGUGUAGUGGUGAAAUGCGUAGAGAUCCGGAGGAACACCAGUGGCGAAGGCGGCUUCCUGGUCCAGCACCGACAUUCAGGCACGAAAGCGUGGGGAGCAAACAGG
This 253-nucleotide ribosomal RNA is filed under the name uncultured bacterium. RNAcentral describes it as "partial 16S ribosomal RNA". It matches the Rfam family "Bacterial small subunit ribosomal RNA", at positions 524 to 776 of the family's 1533-position model. The record is from RNAcentral.